This 373-nucleotide ribosomal RNA is filed under the name uncultured organism. Its description in RNAcentral is "partial 16S ribosomal RNA". It matches the Rfam family "Bacterial small subunit ribosomal RNA", at positions 527 to 896 of the family's 1533-position model. The record is from RNAcentral.
GUAGGUGGCAAGCGUUGUCCGGAAUUAUUGGGCGUAAAGCGCGCGCAGGCGGUUCUUUAAGUCUGAUGUGAAAGCCCACGGGCUCAACCGUGGAGGGUCAUUGGAAACUGGAGAACUUGAGUACAGAAGAGGAAAGCGGAAUUCCACGUGUAGCGGUGAAAUGCGUAGAGAUGUGGAGGAACACCAGUGGCGAAGGCGGCUUUCUGGUCUGUAACUGACGCUGAGGCGCGAAAGCGUGGGGAGCAAACAGGAUUAGAUACCCUGGUAGUCCACGCCGUAAACGGUGAGUGCUAAGUGUUAGGGGGUUUCCGCCCCUUAGUGCUGCAGCUAACGCAUUAAGCACUCCGCCUGGGGAGUACGGCCGCAAAGGCUG